Long non-coding RNA from Argiope bruennichi, 362 nucleotides. RefSeq lists it as uncharacterized. The record is from RefSeq and is a predicted model, not a curated record. NCBI's taxonomy places the organism in Eukaryota, Metazoa, Arthropoda, Arachnida, Araneae, Araneidae. The transcript is spliced from 3 exons.
AAUGCAGUGACUUUUUCAUCACAAUUUGUAGAUAUUUUUUGAGUUCAGGUUUAGCUUUUUCGCUCAUUUUCGAAUGAAAGAGGAGAAAAAAGUCCCAAAGAAAGAAAAAUAAAGUGCUGGUGCUUGUAAGCAUGUCAAUUGCAAGACGUUUGAGCACAAUCGAGAAAUAACAACAGAUAAGGCGAAGUUCCUUGGAAAUCGAAAAGAAGCAAGAAAACGGAGGAGACACUUCAGACUGUUCUUUGAUAGAGCAGGUACCAAUGUAUUUCUAUAAACUUUUUGUGGCCGCUUUUUCAAUUAUACUGAUCGUUCAGAUGCAGUGAUUACUUUGAUAUGGAUCAAAAGUGAUGACCACAAGUAGC